This 443-nucleotide ribosomal RNA is filed under the name uncultured bacterium. Its description in RNAcentral is "partial 16S ribosomal RNA". It matches the Rfam family "Bacterial small subunit ribosomal RNA", at positions 338 to 795 of the family's 1533-position model. The record is from RNAcentral.
CCUACGGGGGGCUGCAGUGGGGAAUAUUGGGCAAUGGGCGCAAGCCUGACCCAGCAACGCCGCGUGAAGGAAGAAGGCUUUCGGGUUGUAAACUUCUUUUCUCCGGGGCGAAGAAAGUGACGGUACCUGAUGAAUAAGCCACGCCUAACUACGUGCCAGCAGCCGCGGUAAUACGUAGGUGGCAAGCGUUAUCCGGAUUUACUGGGUGUAAAGGGCGUGUAGGCGGGAAAGCAAGUCAGAUGUGAAAACAAUGGGCUCAAACGGUGGCCUGCCUUUGACACUGUUUUUCUUGAGUACUGGAGAGGCAGACGGAAUGCGUGGUGUAGCGGUGAAAUGCGUAGAUAUGAGGAGGAACACCAGUGGCGAAGGCGGUCUGCUGGACAGCAACUGACGCGGAGGCGCGAAAGCGUGGGGAGCGAACAGGAUUAGAUACCCCGGUAGUC